UCCGAGUCAAUCCGAGCACGACCGAACCGGCGGCCAUUUUGCAACUCUAGAUACGAGGUUCGAACGUCGUGAAGUUCGGACGUAGCGUCUCGGUCGCCGCGGAUUUAAUUUUGGGAGUGACUCCGAUAGUGAAAUAUUGAAUUGAAAUGCAGUCAACAACGCAGUCAGAAAUCAACGCCUUGACGACGACCCGGUGCAGCUGCAAAUACGUCGGAGCAAAGUAAGCUGAUGCUGUUCAGGCGCUGGGCGACGGAUACUGCGAUGUUAUCAUUUCUCUCCACUGCUCCAGGCGUAUUAUUCCCGAUCCGAACAACAGACAGAGUCGAUUAAUUGGCUGUUCCAGAAACAAAAGAACAGAGACAGGUCUGAACACGAGGUGCAUGGACUGCAAACGAGUCUGGAAGCGGUGACGCCCUGCGGAUUUGUUGUCCUACGGGGUGACAUAGACGUCGCGUCUGCAUCUAUCGCAGCGGCAAAAAACCGUCUGGACCUUCUCUCCGGGUGGUAUAUGUCCCCGAAUCGAGUGUAUGACGCGGUCUAUAUUGCCGGAUAGGGUUCGAGGCUUGGCGUCGUGGGUGGAGUUUAAUUCAUCCGGAAUUAUCCCUCGUAACGGGCGACUGACUAAAUUCUCAUCCCGAUGAAAUGAUUCGCGGCGCAAGGAAGGAAGGAUGGAUGGAACGGACCUACACUACUCGCAGGUCCUCGAAAUUACGGACCAGAUAUUUGGACGGCUGCGGGCUUCUGGAAAUAUCGGCACGACGCGAAAGGGAUUCUCCUUCCGUUAUCGAUUUCGCCCAUGGUGAUCGAGCCUGAUGGUGCGGUAAACUCUGGAGAGAAGGGAAAAAAGAAUGGCUUUUAUUUACGAGGGGCACAGAGGCGUCCUGCCGACAAGCUGACUGCAAAGAAACUCGGAGUUGAAUACCGCGAGGAACGGGGUUAGGGGUGGCAGGAGCAACUCGCUGGGGGAAGAAGAAACGUAUUUCCCGGCGGGAAGACGCAGGAAUUACCGUGGAAAGGAGAAAAAUAAUGAAAUCUCUCCUGAAAAUCUGUUAUUCCGCGUCUCCCUCCUUGUAAACCGGCACUCGGUACCCACUGUACGUGGGUGCAAUAGGUACGCGUCGACUUGGGUCCGACAUAUAAAGCUGCGCGAAAGGACUCGGCGAGGAAUAUUCGCAUUCGAGAAAGCAGCCAGUGAAUUACACUCUGUUUUAAGCGAGCUACCGACAUCAAAGGGUUGUGAAUUACGAGUUAUUUCAAGACGAAAAUUACGAUAAUAUCGCAAUUGAAGCGAUGUCAUUGCUCUUCGCGACGAGGAAGAUGUAG
Molecule: RNA transcript, 1323 nt
Organism: Neodiprion fabricii
Lineage: Eukaryota; Metazoa; Arthropoda; Insecta; Hymenoptera; Diprionidae
Exons: 9
Source: RefSeq, a predicted model, not a curated record